RNAcentral lists this ribosomal RNA (254 nucleotides) under uncultured bacterium. RNAcentral's name for it is "partial 16S ribosomal RNA". It matches the Rfam family "Bacterial small subunit ribosomal RNA", at positions 524 to 776 of the family's 1533-position model. The record is from RNAcentral.
UACGUAGGGGGCAAGCGUUGUCCGGAUUUAUUGGGCGUAAAGAGCUCGUAGGCGGCUUGGUAAGUCGGGUGUGAAACCUCCAGGCUCAACCUGGAGACGCCACUUGAUACUGCCAUGGCUAGAGUCCGGUAGGGGAGCGUGGAAUUCCUGGUGUAGCGGUGAAAUGCGCAGAUAUCAGGAGGAACACCAGCGGCGAAGGCGGCGCUCUGGGCCGGAACUGACGCUGAGGAGCGAAAGCGUGGGGAGCGAACAGG